AAAGAAAUAAAAGAUAGAAAAAGAGAAAUAGAAACAGAAUAGCUAAAAAGAAACAGAGAACAGACGAAAAAGAAAGAAAGGAAAGGGGAAAGAAAAAUAAAAGGGAAAACUAGGGAUUUGAAGCUUGAAGUUUAAUAGGUAAGUUUAAUCAAGUCCUUUUCUUUUAAUUUAAAUGUUUUAAAAGUUUUAAAACAAAGUUUUGUUGAAAAUAAGUUGAGGUUUUGGAAGUUUAUAGUUUUUUUUAGCAUGGUUCAUGUUGAAUAAAUUGUUAAAUUAGGGAUUUAUUUGAUAGAAAUUUUAUUUGGAAUAGAAUAAAGGAUUGAAUUGUAAACUAAACUAUAAGUUUUGAAUUUUAGGGAUUAAAUUGAAAUAAAUUCGAAAUUAUGAAAAUAUGAUAAAAAUUAGAUAGUUAAAUGUGAGUUUGGUAGGAAAUUAAGUAGUUAAAAGGUAUGAAUUGAGAAAGAAAAAUAUAUAGGUUAGUUAGGAUUAAAUUAGAAUUAAAGUAAAAGUUAGAUAAAAAUUUCAGCAAUUAAAUUGUUUUGUGCUAAUGAUUGUGAAAUUAUUUUAAUUGUUCGUAGCUAAUAUCGAGACUGAAGCAUCGGCCCAAAAAGGAAAAGAAAAGAUCGUCGAGGAUUAAAUCCGAAGAGAAUUCCGGUUUGUAUUACUAUAAUUCAAAUAUAUUUAUUAUUAAUUGUUAUAUUUUAAUUAAAAUGCAUGGUAAGUAGAAUUAGGUAAGCAAUUGAAAUGAUAGUAGUGAUUUGAAUUGAAUUAAAUUGAAUUGAAUGAUGGAAGUAUGUGAGUAGUUGAAAUGUAUAUUGAUGGAAAAGUAAUUAGUGAUUUGAAUUUGGUUGGAAAAUAAAUUUAAAAUAUGAAUUAAAUAAAGUGAAUUAAUUUAUGAAUAUGUGUGAAUAUGUGAAUUGUGUAUUGAUUGAAAAGUGGUUUGAAUUGAAUCAAAAAUAUGAUUAUAUGUGAUUAUUUGAAAUAUGUAUUGGUAUUAAAUUGUUGAUUGAUUAGAAAGUGGAAAAGUGAUCUUGAAUUGGAAAUGAAAGUGAAUUGAGAAUUUGAAUACCCUAUUAAUUAGUCGGGCUAAGUCGGAUAUAGUUGCCAUGCCAUAGGAUUUGGAAGAGUACGGGAUUUAUCGGCUUUGCCGAUCAGGCACUUUAUGUGUCGUACAUCAGGCACUUUAUGUGUCGUAUCAGACACCUCGUGUGUCGUUUCAAGCACUUAUGUGUCGUUUACUGAUCAAGUACUAUGUACCGUUUUAGGCACAAUGUACCGUACUGGUGUGUUUGGGUUGGAAUCCGUGUAUCUGUCAAAGUCCAGAUUGUUAAUAGGGUGAGUAAUUGAAAUGAGAAAAUCAAAUGAAUUUGAUUGAUUGUGGUAUUGAAUAUGAGAACAUUUAAAUUUGUGGAUUGAAAUUGAUAUUGAAAUGAAAGGUAUGAAUUUAAUGUUUAUGUAGUGAUUGAAAUUGCUACAUGUGAUAUGUGAUUGAGAUUGAAGAAUAGCUAAAAAUUGUAUUGUUAUUGUUGAAUAAUGAAAGUUUAUGAAUUAAUUGAUAUUUAAGAAAUCGGAUAGUUAUAUGCUUGGUAAUUAUAAUUCUUUAUUGCUAUUAUAAUUUGAAUUAUGGUAAUACCAUUGAGUAUAAAAUACUCAGCGUACGGUUGUUUCCGUGCGCAGGUUGAAAAAUGGGUCAGAGUCUCAGUCCAGCAUAAGAAUGAUUAUGGUUAUUUUGGUAUGUUAUAUAAUUUUGUUGUAAAGAAAGGUAUUUGAUGGUUUGAUGAUUAUAAUAGUAAAAUGGUAGAAGUUAUUUAUAGCAUUGGUAUUAAGUGGAAAUGACUUGAUUAGUUUUAUGAAUUAAUUAGAAAUGAUAAUAGGGUAUUUAUUAAUUAAGUUGUUAUGUCAAGUAUAAUUUAAGUAUAUAAAUGUAUUGGUUAAAUUACUGGGAUUGGUUUGGUUGCGAUUUGAAAUUUGCAGGGGUUUUUAUGUAAAAAUAAGCAGAAAUGCUACUGAAAUUUAUAAAAAAUAAAAAAUAAUAAAAAAAGAGAAUGAAGUCAAUUGUUAAAAUUUAUAUGAAUUAUGAUUUAUUUUAAUAUGUUGGUUAUUUAUUUAAGAAUUAUUUGUAAAUUAUUUGAUAUGUCCGAUAAUGCCUCGUAACCCUGUUUCGGCGACGGUUUGGGGUUAAGGGGUGUUACAGGACAUCUUUGAUAUGAAUGCAUA
RNAcentral lists this long non-coding RNA (2217 nucleotides) under Gossypium raimondii (Peruvian cotton). Its description in RNAcentral is "long non-coding RNA (GRAI_LNC005349)". The record is from RNAcentral. Lineage: Eukaryota; Viridiplantae; Streptophyta; Magnoliopsida; Malvales; Malvaceae.